This 1530-nucleotide ribosomal RNA is filed under the name Pectobacterium versatile. RNAcentral describes it as "bacterial SSU rRNA". It matches the Rfam family "Bacterial small subunit ribosomal RNA". Lineage: Bacteria; Pseudomonadati; Pseudomonadota; Gammaproteobacteria; Enterobacterales; Pectobacteriaceae. The record is from RNAcentral.
AGAGUUUGAUCAUGGCUCAGAUUGAACGCUGGCGGCAGGCCUAACACAUGCAAGUCGAGCGGUAGCACAGGAGAGCUUGCUCUCUGGGUGACGAGCGGCGGACGGGUGAGUAAUGUCUGGGAAACUGCCUGAUGGAGGGGGAUAACUACUGGAAACGGUAGCUAAUACCGCAUAACCUCGCAAGAGCAAAGAGGGGGACCUUAGGGCCUCUCGCCAUCAGAUGUGCCCAGAUGGGAUUAGCUAGUAGGUGAGGUAAUGGCUCACCUAGGCGACGAUCCCUAGCUGGUCUGAGAGGAUGACCAGCCACACUGGAACUGAGACACGGUCCAGACUCCUACGGGAGGCAGCAGUGGGGAAUAUUGCACAAUGGGCGCAAGCCUGAUGCAGCCAUGCCGCGUGUGUGAAGAAGGCCUUCGGGUUGUAAAGCACUUUCAGCGAGGAGGAAGGCGGUAAGGUUAAUAACCUUAUCGAUUGACGUUACUCGCAGAAGAAGCACCGGCUAACUCCGUGCCAGCAGCCGCGGUAAUACGGAGGGUGCAAGCGUUAAUCGGAAUGACUGGGCGUAAAGCGCACGCAGGCGGUCUGUUAAGUUGGAUGUGAAAUCCCCGGGCUUAACCUGGGAACUGCAUUCAAAACUGACAGGCUAGAGUCUUGUAGAGGGGGGUAGAAUUCCAGGUGUAGCGGUGAAAUGCGUAGAGAUCUGGAGGAAUACCGGUGGCGAAGGCGGCCCCCUGGACAAAGACUGACGCUCAGGUGCGAAAGCGUGGGGAGCAAACAGGAUUAGAUACCCUGGUAGUCCACGCUGUAAACGAUGUCGAUUUGGAGGUUGUGCCCUUGAGGCGUGGCUUCCGGAGCUAACGCGUUAAAUCGACCGCCUGGGGAGUACGGCCGCAAGGUUAAAACUCAAAUGAAUUGACGGGGGCCCGCACAAGCGGUGGAGCAUGUGGUUUAAUUCGAUGCAACGCGAAGAACCUUACCUACUCUUGACAUCCAGAGAAUUAGCUAGAGAUAGCUGAGUGCCUUCGGGAACUCUGAGACAGGUGCUGCAUGGCUGUCGUCAGCUCGUGUUGUGAAAUGUUGGGUUAAGUCCCGCAACGAGCGCAACCCUUAUCCUUUGUUGCCAGCGAUUCGGUCGGGAACUCAAAGGAGACUGCCGGUGAUAAACCGGAGGAAGGUGGGGAUGACGUCAAGUCAUCAUGGCCCUUACGAGUAGGGCUACACACGUGCUACAAUGGCGUAUACAAAGAGAAGCGACCUCGCGAGAGCAAGCGGACCUCAUAAAGUACGUCGUAGUCCGGAUUGGAGUCUGCAACUCGACUCCAUGAAGUCGGAAUCGCUAGUAAUCGUAGAUCAGAAUGCUACGGUGAAUACGUUCCCGGGCCUUGUACACACCGCCCGUCACACCAUGGGAGUGGGUUGCAAAAGAAGUAGGUAGCUUAACCUUCGGGAGGGCGCUUACCACUUUGUGAUUCAUGACUGGGGUGAAGUCGUAACAAGGUAACCGUAGGGGAACCUGCGGUUGGAUCACCU